ACCCAACUGACGAGUCCCAGAUAGGACGAAAUGUGCAUGCAGGGU
This 45-nucleotide non-coding RNA is filed under the name Trichobilharzia regenti. Lineage: Eukaryota; Metazoa; Platyhelminthes; Trematoda; Strigeidida; Schistosomatidae. The record is from RNAcentral.